GAACGCUGGCGGCGUGCUUAACACAUGCAAGUCGAACGGAAAGGCUCCUGCUUGCAGGGGUACUCGAGUGGCGAACGGGUGAGUAACACGUGGUUUAUCUGCCCUGCACUUCGUGAUAAGCCUGGGAAACUGGGUCUAAUACCGGAUAGGACGAUGUUUUGGAUGCCAUUGUGGAAAGUUUUUCGGUGUGGGAUGGGCUCGCGGCCUAUCAGCUUGUUGGUGGGGUAAUGGCCUAUCAAGGCGUCGAAGGUUAGCCGGCCUGAGAGGGUGUACGGCCACAUUGGGACUGAGAUACGGCCCAGAAUCCUACGGGAGGCAGCAGUGGGGAAUAUUGCACAAUGGGGGGAAGCCUGAUGCAGCGACGCCGCGUGGGGGAUGACGGCCUUCGGGUUGUAAACUCCUUUCGCUAGGGACGAAGCGCAAGUGACGGUACCUGGAGAAGAAGCACCGGCUAACUACGUG
RNAcentral lists this ribosomal RNA (462 nucleotides) under uncultured bacterium. Its description in RNAcentral is "partial 16S ribosomal RNA". It matches the Rfam family "Bacterial small subunit ribosomal RNA", at positions 31 to 507 of the family's 1533-position model. The record is from RNAcentral.